AAAAGAUUUAAAACAAAAGGUGGCGAUUAUUUCCUUUUGAAGAAUUAAUAAAAAGCUUAUGGGAAAUUUGCAAAUUUGCAAAAGAAAGAAUAUUCCCUCAACCAAUUCAUUUUGAGAAAGGGCCAAAAGAAUAUUCCUAAACUUGCUUGGUGGAAAAAAAGAAACUCGAGAAGGUUUUUCUCAUGAAGAUUAGCAAGAGAGCUUCAGAUUUUUUGUCAAGCCAAAAAUUGAAAAUCCAAGGAAAUCAAGGAAAUAAAAAUAAAAUAAAAUCUUGGGUGUUACAUAAACACUCACGCCGAGGCGACUGGCACAAUGAGCCUCAUUCACGGUAAAGCUUUCCGAGGUUUGGGAGCGUCGGGUUUGGGCUGUUUCACAUCCUUCUCUGCCGACUCAGUUGUUGUGGCUCAGUCAUGCUUGAUAUUCCUGGUGCUCGAUGUCAGGGUCUUCCUUGGGGCAGCCGCCGAGUCUUGAGGCUUCUUCGAUCGAGACUCGUUACGCAGGGGAGACUGAAUCUCUUCUUCGCUCUCCUUCGAGACGUCUUCGUUGUCCUCGAUGUCCUCAUCAUAAUCACUAUCCACGCUGCCGCCUACACUCUCUUCAUCGACAUCAAGUUGCCCUCCGUUCGGCAUGAGCGAAUACAUAUUUGUCAACUCCUACAACAUUCAAACAAUAAAGGGAGUCGACCAGAGAUAUCAAAGCACUCGAUGAAAUAUCAAAGUAUUCGAAAAUGAUAUAUCUUAUCAGGUUUGGUGGCGGGUUCUCAGCAGAGUAAGGCAAGAUUCGCUUGGCUCACAAGGGGUUGUCACUGGCUCCGGUGAUGCUUCUGAGCCACGGUCUCCUCCGAGACUUCCUCUCGGUGUGACCGAGUGGUGUCCUUGGGGCCAGAGUAGUGCCACAUGGUGUGGUCUCUCGCUUGAAGGGGAUGGAUUCGCCGACUAAGAAACGCCUCUAAUAGGUCCAUUCUAGUCACUCCACCACGGAUCAGAUCCACUACCGCAUUCACCAAAAUUCCUACUUGUAUCUUAUCCUCACCGUCAACGUUCUGGGAGAAGUCGGUCGCUCCAAUGUGAAGGGGGGAAGGCCAGUUAACAUAUUGGGAGAUGCAACAUCUUUGCAAUAAAACAAUGUCGACUGCCAGCCCCGAACAGAUUCACGAAGGGUCAUCUGCGGAAACAUACUCUUACUCCUCUUUUGGAGUCUCAGACCACCACAUAGAUGGAUGAUGUGGGUCCUACUAUCACUAGGAUUGGCUUUCUUAACCGACACAGACCGAAUCAUGAAAAUGUGUUUGAACAAGCCCCAAUGAGGGGAACAACCCAGGAAGCAUUCAAAUAGCGUUACGAACGCGGCAAGGUACGCAAUGGUAUUCGGAGGAAAGUGGUGAAGUUGAGCACCGAAGAAAUUUAAGAACCCACGAAUUAAUGGAUGGGGAGGCAAAGAAAAACCUCGCUCGACGUGAGUGAGGAGGAGGACUCGCUCGCCUUCGCGCGGCUCCGGCUCGGUUUCCCCUUCCGGCAACCUCUAUGACCCGGCGGCUAUCAGCCCGUUGGUGACGAGGUUCUGGACGUCCGCCUCCCUAAAAGUUGAUCGGAGGAAAUCCCCAUGGAUCCACCCCGGCGGCGCCGUAGAUCGGGCGCCCAACGACUUCUUACCCUUGCCUCCCUUCUUGGCACGCUCAAGCUUCCCUGUCUUCCCCUUCAUCAUCGCAGUGGCAGUGGAGGCGGCAGAUCUGAGCGGCGCCCGUGAAGCAAAGGUGGUGGGAAAAGAGGAAAAGAUUAAGGAGGAAUACUGUGCCAGCCCUUGCAACGACCCAUCUUAUAGUCGCUCGAGUGAGUCGCUGACUUAUGGGCCCGCCAGAUCUCUAUAUAUCUUGAUAACAGAGGAAGCACGAUACAUGGCGAUAAGUACGGCGCAAUAAUCGAGGCAUCGUGCUCCCACUUGCCCAAGUCGUUGCAUCAUCAUCGCGCGGCGCGCGCUUACCGAGUUUUCGAAUCCCGUGAAAUACGGACCUCAUGAAGUGACCCGUCGCGUCAAGGGCCGGUACUCUGUUGAUCACUCGAAUGAGUUUCCAUGCUCAAGGUCACCCGUACACAUUUCAAGACAAAAUAAAUCAGGGUAAAUGACAAAGACUUCAUUCGAUGCACACUUCUGUUAAGCCUUAAAAAGCAUUCGGAGUUCGUGUGUCUUAUUAGAAUCUGCAUAGACCCCUUUCCUUAUUCAAACACCGAUCCAAUCGGGGGCUAAUGAUAGGGAUAUAUACCUAGGGUAGGGCCAUAGGCCUGAACUACACGUCCUAUCGAAGGACACUACAUUGAAGGACUUAAAGAUUACAAGGAAGGCUCCGACCGAAUCACCAUGUCGCAUGCAUCACUCAACGCUACAUCCACUCGGAAGCUUCCCCCUUCAUUCGACAGUCGCCUUUCACUCGGAAGAACAAGAAACCAGUCGGCCGCAGAAGAUCACAAGCCACUCCAGGGAGGCCAACGAGCAGACGUUCGACUGGUCGUCAUAACUAGCAUUUAUUGCAUACGUUAUCAGUAACGUUCGCCUUAAUUUCCACUAUCGAACCCUUGGUUGCCAGAUCUUUGAUGAGGGAUACCGCAUUCUAUAUAAGCCACCCCUCCCCUCUGGCACAAGGGUUCGCACCCCCUGUAACUCACACUUUCCACACGACACAAGCUCCUGAGCACUGAGAUGUAGGGUUGUUACCUCCAUGAGAGGGGCCUGAACUCAUACAUUCGUGUGUACAAACUCGCCGUAGCUAGGACUCCGCCCUCUUCCUACGUACCCCUAACCUCUACUGUCAGGCUCGUUCCCACGACAAUACCUCCACCGCUUGUGGUGUGAAAUUGAUCAUUGCCCAGGUACUUCUCAAGAAGAGCAAGUUGCUCAAGUUCGCAGGUGAUGUGGUCGGUGGCGCCGGAGUCAACAUACCGAACACCAUCACCUCUUUGUUCACGCAAAGCAGUAGCAACGUGUCGUGCAUAGGGGACAUAGUCCUCAUCAUAACAAUGCCAACAAUCCAUCACCUCAUGGCCACCUUUCUUGCAGAGUUGGUAGCUCGGGCGACCAUGGGAAGACGAAGAGCGAAGGUUGUUGUUGGUGUUGGGACCGCCGCCGCUGUUCUGGCCGUAGCCACCGUGGUAGCCGCCACCACAAGAGCGAGCACCAUCGCUCGAAGGAAAGCCACGAUAGUGACAGCCGCCGCGACCUUGCCCCAGGUGACCACGCCCACGACCUCGACCACGGGAGGCAGAGUUAGCAGACGACUGGCGAAGGUUUGUGACAUGGAGGAGGGUGAGGCGGGCGUCAAUGCUCAGGAGCUCACUUUAGAGAUCCUGAACAGUGACAGGUUCCACCCGAGCAGCGAGCACCGACACAACUGGAUUGUACUCCACAUCCAAACUGGCAGGGAUUUUGGAUGUGAUUUCCACAUCAAAUAGCACGGCGCCAGUACAUGCAACUUCAUCGCUAAGACUUUUAGUUUUUCCAAGAUACUCGGCCAUAGUCAUAGUACCUUUUUGCAGAUUGGUGAGCUCAAUGCGCGUGUUGAUGGCUUGAGCUUGGCGUUGGGUAGUAAACAUGGCGUGGAUGGCGUGACACACCUCGGCUGGCGUGGAGCAUGACGACCUGGGCAAGAAUAUCGCGGGAAAGGGAACCCAUCAAAUAUCCUUGGAGUUGUUGCUGCUAUGCAUACCAGAGGGAUCACGCAAAGUUGGCGACUUGCUCUUCUUUCCCGUACUUGACAAUGGUGAGAGUCGCCGACGGUGUCGGGCUCUUCACGUCGAGGUGGUGCUCCAUCUGUGAGCCCUUGAUCUAGGGCAGCACAAUGGCCUUCCAUAGGAGGAAGUUGCCCCUCGCGAGCUUCUCCUGUGGUGGUGGUCCAAGCGAGGUAGUGGUGGAGGUGGAGGAUGAGGCCAAGGUGGAGGAUGAGUUGGUGGUGAGCGCGUCGAUGGUGUUAAGGUUCAUGGCAGUGUCGGACAUGUUGCUCGGUCGCAGAAGGAAGCUAGAUGCAAUCUCUUUCGAUCUAAUGAGGAAGAGGCUCUGACACCAUGUGAAAUGACAUGGGAAACUUUGAAACCUUUGCUUGGGCCACAUUGCUAUAUAUAUAAGGGAUGCCUUGGCUUACAAGUUGAGACCGAUCACAAUGGAUCGGUUAUAGAAGAGAUCGAGAGAGAGGGAAUCGGUAGAGAAAACAGAAGAAGGGAUAGAGAAAGAUUACACAUUCAAACUACUCUUCUAUCCCUAUACAACUUAUUCUAACACAAUUGACCGAUAGAAAGUCGGACAAUAUACAGUCGACCCACUCGGCUUUGAUCUAAGAGAACUCACUUGCCAUAGAUGGAAGAACAAAUUAUCACAGCAGUAUGGCAAGGUCACGGCCAAAGACAUAACGCUCCGACUUGUGCUUAACCAUCCGGAGCCGACCCACCCCAGCCUUCAACACUUUGACGCCCUCAAGAACAGCAAAAUUCUCUCUUUCCAGAAGGGCAUGGCCAGACAUAUCCUCAAUGCUCUCCUCUGGUCUAGUAAGAAAGAACCUGGCAAUGCAGACUUUACCGGAUCCUAGCAGCACAAUGCUGGCAUCUCUCAGUCUCCAAUCUUCUGGCCUGUUCACAUCUGUCCACUCAUUCUGCAGCAUGGGCGGCCACAAUUCACAUGAGGUAGUGAGGUCUGCUGCGCAAAGCUGCAAAUCGUUGGGUGUGAAGCCAAGCCAGAGGUUGUGCUCAGGGAUGUACUCAGCACGACCUCUGAAGGGCAGUGCCCAGUUGCCUACUUUGCUCCAUGCGUCACUCGCGGUGUCAUACAAGUAUGUGCCAGCGGCAAAUGUAGAUAUCCAGAUCUGUGAAUCGCCAACCACAGUGUAGGCGCUGAUUUUAAAGGGCAUUAAGACGUCGCAGCCGCUGGAUUCCACUUCCACCCCAUCGGCAAAGAGAGGCGGUGGCUGGAGGGAAUACCAGCACCAGUCUUUGGUGUUGCUAGCACUAGCAGGCGGGCGGCUGCGGAUGAGAGCCUGGAAGCAGUGCUGAUCCGGCCGCCGGCCAGGGUUGCGGCUCAUGACGUAUAGGCUGUCGCCCACGGCAAUGGAGAUGGGGUCGAUAAUGGGCCUGCACAUCUUGGGCNNNNNNNNNNNNNNNNNNNNNNNNNCAUUCCUGUGCGGAGCAAACGAGAGUCAUGGUUGUACAAGAAGGUCCUACCGAUUUGGUCCACGGCGAGAAGAUUGUCCCGGUUGAGGCCGAAAGCCAUGAAAUUCAUCCACGCCAGUUCCCCAUUGUUGGAUGGCCAGUCGAAUGACAGAGAUGGGGGAGGCAGCGGAGCGUCCGCUAACGGUUGAACUGCUCGAACCGCUUACCGGGUUGGGCGAAAUAAGUUUUCCGGAUUCAUACAGUGAAGGCUGAAGUAUCUGGGGCCGCCGUAGCUCCUAGCCAACAGAUUCACAAACCGGCUACCCAUGGUGGGCGGGCUUCCUGAUAAUCAAAAGAAAGAACAAGGGACUUGUUGAAUGUUGGUAAUGAUUGUAGCUUCUUCUCUCGUAAUAUCUAAGAACCAUGUACAAACACAGAGAAAUAUCAUCAGAGAUUCACGGAGUACCUGAGGAGGGGGGAUGGGAAUCAACUGAACCCGGAAAUUUCUGGAAAGGAGAGUAUCGGCACUCAACCACGCAGCAAGAUCGAUAUGUUGUUUGGCAACAAAUUGGGGGUAUUUGGGGAGGAGGCGUUGUUGGCGGCACAAGGAAGACUUUAGAGGGAGAUCCGGUGCGAUUCCUACCCUAACGCCUUCCCC
RNAcentral lists this long non-coding RNA (5784 nucleotides) under Hordeum vulgare. RNAcentral describes it as "long non-coding RNA (HVUL_LNC013328)". The record is from RNAcentral. Lineage: Eukaryota; Viridiplantae; Streptophyta; Magnoliopsida; Poales; Poaceae.